UCCGUAGGCGGGUAAUAAGUCAGAGGUGAAAUCCCACAGCUUAACUGUGGAACUGCCUUUGAUACUGUUAGUCUUGAGUUAUAUGGAAGUAGAUAGAAUGUGUAGUGUAGCGGUGAAAUGCAUAGAGAUUACACAGAAUACCGAUUGCGAAGGCAGUCUACUACGUAUAUACUGACGCUAAUGGACGAAAGCGUGGGGAGCGAACAGGAUUAGAUACCCUGGUAGUCC
This 228-nucleotide ribosomal RNA is filed under the name uncultured bacterium. RNAcentral's name for it is "partial 16S ribosomal RNA". It matches the Rfam family "Bacterial small subunit ribosomal RNA", at positions 568 to 796 of the family's 1533-position model. The record is from RNAcentral.